GACAGUUGGGACUGGAUCAGGUUGGAGCUGCUGGGGCAGGCUGGGUCCAGCCGUUACUCUUUUGUCCUCCCAGAGCAGACAGUAGUCCCUGAGGCAGCUGGGACGAAUACAGCAGGUCCAGGACAAGGGACCAGAGACAGGGCUGAUAGUGUGAGCUGGGAGGGGCUGCCUAUCUGCCCGGCUGUCGCAGUACUUGAAUUCUGUAUUGUUUUCUAUACCAGUUGCUUCAGCUAACAUCUGAUUCGGUGUCUUACUUUGCCCUUGAAUGUGGAUGUGUGAAAGGUAACUGAGAGACUCUGAGGGGUCCUUCAUGGUGUGACUGAAGGUGUGGGCCUUGAGGAAAACUAGCUGUGUGGUGUUUAUUUAGAACCUAGAGGAAGGCAGAAGAAAGGGCCUGUGAGGGCUUGACAGGUUCAGUUCCCUCCAAGCGACUGUGGGGUGCCUGGUGCUACCUGGUUCAACAGCAGGAACUUCCUAAGUCCAGUGCUACCCCAUGUCAUGCUCUGCCCCACUGUGCCCUGCUUGGGUUCCCUAAAGAUGAUGAUUCUUAGCUGGCGUGGGAAGGGCAGGUGGCCCGUCAGUCAGCUGAAAACUUGAAAGACCCUGUUAGAAUCUGCUUGCUGUGGAUCCCAAAUUGGCAUGGCGACAAGCAUGUGACAUCUCAGCCUUACCCACUGCUUGGAAUGGUGCUGCUGCUGUGUGGUUCUGCAUGUCAGGCAGCCCAGCCCGUGCUGUUGGAAGAAGGGCUCAACACGAAGUGUUUCAAAAUGGCAAAGGUGUUCGCUUUCGUUUGUUCUGUUUUCCUAGAGAAGGAAAAGGAUGCGGGAAUCUAAAACGUUCUGGUUGAAUAGCCUCUGCUUGUGUCCCAUCGGCCGCCUCAUUGCAAGCAUUUUGCACACGAUUGUGAUUUUUAUGUCAAAAGAAGCCAAAAUUUGCAAUACUAUUUUUAGCAGACAAAAGAGAACUCAGUAUAAAAUGUGUAAAUAUUUUUGACUUGAACAUUUUGGGUGGCUCUGGGUUCAAGGAGAACAUUUAUCCCUUCAGUGGGAUGUUUGUAGAAAAGGACCCCAGGAAGAGGGUUGUUUUGAAGGCACUGUCUAGGGGUUAAAGUAGCAUCAUAACUCAUGACUGUUAGAAAAUAAUAAAGUCAGUUGCUCCCCUACCUCUAAGGAGGCCUUCACACUGAGCUAGAGCAGACACCAUUUCUUGGCUUUCUUUUGUUUAAGGGAGGAGGAGGCUUUGUUUUUGUUUUGUGGGGUUUUUUUUGUUUGUUUUUGUUUUGUUUUAUUUUUUGACCCUCCAGCAUCCUCCUUUCUCUGUGCUGUGACCCUGUAGUGACAAGACUGUUACUUUGUAGCCAUGGCUGAAAACAUUGUAUCAAUAACAACAAAAACAACAAAAAAUUUAAAAAAAGAAAAAAAAAAGAAAAAAAAAAACAACCCACAGCAAUGUCUGCAAGCUGACCAGGGAAACCCGAGAGCUGUGAGCCGGCGCUCAGAGCUGUUUCAGACAUGGAAAUCCAUGGCAAAGGAUGUCAUCAGUAAUUGUAAAACGCUUUGUAAAGUUCACAUUUACAGAAUAAUAAAGUCAAUUCAAACCCUG
Molecule: long non-coding RNA, 1602 nt
Filed under: Rattus norvegicus (Norway rat)
Lineage: Eukaryota; Metazoa; Chordata; Mammalia; Rodentia; Muridae
Description: long non-coding RNA NONRATT019069
Source: RNAcentral